Molecule: long non-coding RNA, 1095 nt
Filed under: Setaria viridis
Lineage: Eukaryota; Viridiplantae; Streptophyta; Magnoliopsida; Poales; Poaceae
Description: long non-coding RNA (SVIR_LNC008472)
Source: RNAcentral
GAAGAUCAUAAUAAAGGAAGAAGCGGUAAUAUCCAGGAUUGUAACAGAAAUGACCCUAUAUCAAACAAGGAAAUUAAAAUGCUGAGCAUGUCAUUCGCCUGACAGGUGGCAAGCGCUAGAAGGCAUCUUGAGGUAGGCGAAAAAUCACCAUAAGUAGCAACAAGCUGUGAAGGAACUGCUAAUUAAAGAGUUCAUAUAAAAGAGAAAUUGAAUUAGCAUACCGACAAGAGUGAUUAAAUAUAAAAGAGAGAUGAGUAAUGCUCAAUUGAAGGCAACAAUUAAUUACUAUUGUCACUUGUUUGACAGCAUUUCCGUUGUACAAUCAGAUAAACAUACCAACUACAGAGUAGAGAGAAAGGAAACCGACCGCCGAUCCUUGAGAUCACGCAUGUAAGCAAUUGAAUGAGCCUAGUUCUAUAUCCAUAUGCCCAUGCACCAACCAUAAGCUAAAUGAUUCCAGCUCACAACUCGUCCAACAUGCCGUAAUAGGAACUGGACAUAUACCGCAGAUUUAUUUCCCCAAUCUCUUGUAAUUUUGUAUUUCAUAGCAGACUUAAUCUUCUUUGUCUUUGUUUUCACAGAACACAGUUAACAGGUAAAGUAGCAACACUCCUUGUUGGCCUCUAUCAAGAAGAUGGCAGUGUACAGUCCAUCAGAAACUGCAAGCAGCUGGUCUGAAAAUUAAACAGUGGCAAUGCAAUGGUCAAUAGGUUGCUAUUGAUAUGAAUCAUGAAUGGCAGAAUUCAACAUUACUAGUAACAGAAGUACAUUCACCUCUGUUCAGGGAAUGUUUAGCUUCGGAUGAGGAUGAGGAUGGUAGUUGCAGUUGAAUAAGAAGUCAUUGAGCAAGCCUAGGUGACUCGUCACUCGUCAGGCUGUCAUUGGAAAGAUCAUAAUAAAGGAAGAAACAGUAAUAUCCAGAAUUUUACCAGAAGUGAUCAUAUAUCAAUCAAGGAAAUUAAAAUGCUGAGCAUGUCAUUGGCCUGACUAUAAAGCAUCUUGAGGCAGUCGAAAAUCACCAUAAGUAGCAACAAAAUGUGAAGGAGCUGCUAAUUAAUAUAAAAGAGAAAUUGAAUUGGCGUCGCGACAAGAGUG